GUGGAGCCUGCGGCUUAAUUUGACUCAACACGGGAAACCUCACCAGGCCCGGACACCAGAAGGAUUGACAGAUUAAGAGCUCUUUCUCGAUUUGGUGGGUGGUGGUGCAUGGCCGUUCUUAGUUGGUGGAGUGAUUUGUCUGGUUAAUUCCGGUAACGAACGAGACUCUGGCCUACUAAAUAGUCGACGGGCGUUUUGGUGCAUGGGCCCCGUUCGACACAGUCUUCUUAGAGGGAUGAGCAGCGAGUAUAGCUGCAGGAGAUUGAGCAAUAACAGGUCUGUGAUGCCCUUAGAUGUCCUGGGCCGCACGCGCGCUACACUGAAUGGGUUAGCGGGUUGUCCUUCUCCGAGAGGAGCGGGAAAUCGCGUGAAAACCAUUCGUGAUAGGGAUUGGGGCUUGCAAUUUUUUCCCAUGAACGAGGAAUUCCCAGUAAGCGCAAGUCAUCAGCUUGCGUUGAUUAAGUCCCUGCCCUUUGUACACACCGCCCGUCGCUACUACCGAUUGAAUGAUUUAGUGAGGCCUUCGGACUGGCGGUCUUGGACUGGGGCGCCGGUGUUCUCCCAGCAAUGGGGACUCGGCGACUCGCCUAGACGGGCCGGAAAGAUGUCCAAACUUGAUCAUUUAGAGGAAGUAAAAGUCGUAACAAGGUUUCC
Molecule: ribosomal RNA, 654 nt
Filed under: Pliopontonia furtiva
Lineage: Eukaryota; Metazoa; Arthropoda; Malacostraca; Decapoda; Palaemonidae
Description: SSU rRNA
Rfam family: Eukaryotic small subunit ribosomal RNA
Source: RNAcentral